UAUGAAUUGUUUUGUUGGCCUGCCACCGUUUUCCUGAAUAGCUUGUUCAGUUCCCGUCUGAUCGGAAUGUCUGUUGUGUGUUCUGUAUUGUGAUUUCGUCCGAUCUGUUAUCACUUGGUUGUUUCGCGUUAUGAUUACCGUCACGUGCAUAUUUUGUAAAUAACAUUAGUGAAUUCCCUUUUUCUAUUUAUCAUAAAUAUUUAUUUUUUCAAGAAAACUAAUGUAUUUCUAGGGCUCCAUUGGGAUAAAAGUUUUGGAUCUACUGUUAUCAAUUGUUAAACUAUCAAUGCGAGACAGUCGAUGCCGUAUAUUUAAUAGUUGACCGUUCACCGGUUCGGAAAUGCUCUUAGUUUGGGUUAAUCGAACGUCAUGCCGGAAGAGUCGCCGGGCGCACUGUAUGUCGUCCACGACAACACCACCGACGACGCCACAGCCACCACCUUCCAUGAAGGGUAACCACAGCCGGCGCCACUGCUGACGACCACAGCCGUCACCAUGACAUUGUUGCUGAAGAACCGGCGCCUGGCCGGGCGGCCGUUUUCGGUGAAGCGCUGCGUGGCCGCACUCAUGGUGCUUGGCUUCUUAUCUAUAUUCUACUAUACGCAGUAUUUGAGCUCACCAAUUGCCAGUUUACCAACUGAAGCGGCGGUACUUAUUCAUAAUGCUUUUUGAUUAUAUUCACAAAUAGUACCAAUUACUUGAUAGAUAAUCAAUUCAUUAAAAUUACUAUAUAAAAUACUUCAUAGUUUAGUUAAACAGUUUUCAUUAUUACUUAAAUUAAUCUAGAUAAAAAAAUUACUAUUAUGUUCUUAAAAUCGCGUUUCUAAACAUUUAAUAUAAACGAUUUCGUUCGAUCAGCAUAUAUAAUAAUGGACCUACUAUUUGUGCAUGGACAGUACGAUGCACAAGAAAGAUACGUUAGUAAUGUCUGUAUACUUGAUCAGCGAAUUAGUGACUGAUUAUAAUGUUUGCAACCGGUUUACACUAAGAAGUUAAUCGAUUCUCAU
Long non-coding RNA from Daktulosphaira vitifoliae (grape phylloxera), 1007 nucleotides. RefSeq lists it as uncharacterized. The transcript is spliced from 3 exons. NCBI's taxonomy places the organism in Eukaryota, Metazoa, Arthropoda, Insecta, Hemiptera, Phylloxeridae. The record is from RefSeq and is a predicted model, not a curated record.